ACGCUAGCUACAGGCUUAACACAUGCAAGUCCGAGGGGAAACGGCAUUGAGUGCUUGCACCCUUUGGACGUCGACCGGCGCACGGGUGAGUAACGCGUAUCCAACCUUCCCAUUACUGUGGGAUAACCUGCCGAAAGGCAGACUAAUACCGCAUAGUCUUCGAUGACGGCAUCAGAUUUGAAGUAAAGAUUUAUCGGUAAUGGAUGGGGAUGCGUCUGAUUAGCUUGUUGGCGGGGUAACGGCCCACCAAGGCAACGAUCAGUAGGGGUUCUGAGAGGAAGGUCCCCCACAUUGGAACUGAGACACGGUCCAAACUCCUACGGGAGGCAGCAGUGAGGAAUAUUGGUCAAUGGACGGAAGUCUGAACCAGCCAAGUAGCGUGCAGGAUGACGGCCCUAUGGGUUGUAAACUGCUUUUGUAUGGGGAUAAAGUUAGGGACGUGUCCCUAUUUGCAGGUACCAUACGAAUAAGGACCGGCUAAUUCCGUGCCAGCAGCCGCGGUAAUACGGAAGGUCCAGGCGUUAUCCGGAUUUAUUGGGUUUAAAGGGAGCGUAGGCUGGAGAUUAAGUGUGUUGUGAAAUGUAGACGCUCAACGUCUGAAUUGCAGCGCAUACUGGUUUCCUUGAGUACGCACAACGUUGGCGGAAUUCGUCGUGUAGCGGUGAAAUGCCUAGAUAUGACGAAGAACUCCGAUUGCGAAGGCAGCUGACGGGAGCGCAACUGACGCUUAAGCUCGAAGGUGCGGGUAUCAAACAGGAUUAGAUACCCUGGUAGUCCGCACAGUAAACGAUGGAUGCCCGCUGUUGGUACCUGGUAUCAGCGGCUAAGCGAAAGCAUUAAGCAUCCCACCUGGGGAGUACGCCGGCAACGGUGAAACUCAAAGGAAUUGACGGGGGCCCGCACAAGCGGAGGAACAUGUGGUUUAA
This 926-nucleotide ribosomal RNA is filed under the name uncultured bacterium. Its description in RNAcentral is "bacterial SSU rRNA". It matches the Rfam family "Bacterial small subunit ribosomal RNA", at positions 33 to 949 of the family's 1533-position model. The record is from RNAcentral.